This 253-nucleotide ribosomal RNA is filed under the name uncultured bacterium. RNAcentral's name for it is "partial 16S ribosomal RNA". It matches the Rfam family "Bacterial small subunit ribosomal RNA", at positions 524 to 776 of the family's 1533-position model. The record is from RNAcentral.
UACGAAGGGGGCUAGCGUUGCUCGGAAUUACUGGGCGUAAAGCGCACGUAGGUGGCGACGUAAGUCGGGUGUGAAAGCCCCGGGCUCAACCUGGGAAUUGCAUUCGAGACUGCAUUGCUGGAGUACGGAAGAGGAAGGCGGAAUUCCCGGUGUAGUGGUGGAAUGCGUAGAUAUCGGGAGGAACACCAGUGGCGAAGGCGGUUGCCUGGGGCUGUGCUGACGCUGAUGCGCGAAAGCGUGGGGAGCGAUCCGG